This 351-nucleotide unclassified non-coding RNA is filed under the name soil metagenome. Its description in RNAcentral is "partial contains 5.8S ribosomal RNA, internal transcribed spacer 2, and large subunit ribosomal RNA". The stretch from base 1 to 121 matches the Rfam family "5.8S ribosomal RNA", at positions 35 to 154 of the family's 154-position model. The record is from RNAcentral.
GAUGAAGGAACGUAGCGAACUGCGAUAAGUAAUGUGAAUUGCAGAAUUCAGUGAAUCAUCGAGUCUUUGAACGCACAUUGCGCCCCCUGGCAUUCCGGGGGGCAUGCCUGUCCGAGCGUCAUUGCUGCCCUUCAAGCCCGGCUUGUGUGUUGGGUCGUCGUCCCCCCCGGGGGACGGGCCCGAAAGGCAGCGGCGGCACCGCGUCCGGUCCUCGAGCGUAUGGGGCUUUGUCACCCGCUCGAUUAGGGCCGGCCGGGCGCCAGCCGGCGUCUCCAACCUUCUAUUUUACCAGGUUGACCUCGGAUCAGGUAGGGAUACCCGCUGAACUUAAGCAUAUCAAUAAGCGGAGGA